UACGUAGGUGGCGAGCGUUGUCCGGAUUUAUUGGGCGUAAAGCGCGCGCAGGCGGUCGCGUAAGUCUGCUGUGAAAUCUCCAAGCCUAACUUGGAAACUGCAUUGGAUACUAUCCGGCUCGAGGAAUGGAGGGGAGACUGGAAUACUUGGUGUAGCAGUGAAAUGCGUAGAUAUCAAGUGGAACACCAGUGGCGAAGGCGAGUCUCUGGACAUUUCCUGACGCUGAGGCACGAAAGCCAGGGGAGCAAACGGG
This 253-nucleotide ribosomal RNA is filed under the name uncultured bacterium. Its description in RNAcentral is "partial 16S ribosomal RNA". It matches the Rfam family "Bacterial small subunit ribosomal RNA", at positions 524 to 776 of the family's 1533-position model. The record is from RNAcentral.